GUUGACCAAGCUGUUUUCUGUGAAACAACCACAGGAAAAUACAGAAAAUAUUUUCUGUAAAACUUUUUACAUGUAAACAAACGGACCUGAAUCUCUAAACCUUUGCUCCCUAUCAUUAAAAAAUAUUCCAUAAAUAUGCCCAAAAACUAGUCUAUAAUGACAAAUUGUUCACUUGUAUAAAAAAAUUACAAAGAUUAUGGGCAAAUUACCAAGGGAGUGGUGUGAAUUCCGAGUCAUGUUACAUGUGAAAUGGCAUCUUUGGGCAUUUGACAGAGGAAAAGAGCAAAGAUUCUACAGCCAAAAAGGAAAUUUUGAAAGGGGGGGGGUUUAAAAGCUGCCAUAGGAGCUAAAAGGGAGCCCCCACCAAAUAUCCAAUUUCGGGCAUUUAAUCUGGCCAACGCCUAGAAAUGUGAGCCAAGUUUUGGUUUGAAGGUACAGUUUCACUUUAGUUUUUAGGACAUGCCCCUGCCUUGCCUAACAAAAAGACCUAUAAGACUUUACCAAGCCCAAUAAAGAAAAAGGCACAUGGAGCAGAGCGAGAUUCGGAUGUGUCAGUUUUCAUCCGGAAAAUACUCUACAAGUGUGCUCCCAUGUAUUGACGACAUCCCAAAAAAGACACCUCUCGCAUGCGACACGGACACCCAUCGUUUUCAUCUCUAAACUUUCUUCUUCUACAUUCUUUAACGCUUCAGACUCCCCAAUUUCACAACCUCAUCAAUGGUCCACCAACCUCCACACUGCUUCUCAUCUCAGCAAAGAAUAGAUGCCCAAAACCUGUUUUUCAUUUGCUUUUUAAUCUAACAUUUCUUAAAACAUUAAUGUAAACUAUCUUAUAAAUACUGAGUUUUCGCUGAAUAAUGGAAAGCC
Molecule: long non-coding RNA, 867 nt
Filed under: Gossypium raimondii (Peruvian cotton)
Lineage: Eukaryota; Viridiplantae; Streptophyta; Magnoliopsida; Malvales; Malvaceae
Description: long non-coding RNA (GRAI_LNC006963)
Source: RNAcentral